Molecule: ribosomal RNA, 1072 nt
Filed under: Microbacterium sp.
Lineage: Bacteria; Bacillati; Actinomycetota; Actinomycetes; Micrococcales; Microbacteriaceae
Description: bacterial SSU rRNA
Rfam family: Bacterial small subunit ribosomal RNA
Source: RNAcentral
UGCAGUCGACGGUGAAGCAGAGCUUGCUCCUGUGGAUCAGUGGCGAACGGGUGAGUAACACGUGAGCAACCUGCCCCGGACUCUGGGAUAAGCGCUGGAAACGGCGUCUAAUACCGGAUACGAGACAAGACGGCAUCGUCAUUGUCUGGAAAGAUUUUUUGGUCUGGGAUGGGCUCGCGGCCUAUCAGCUUGUUGGUGAGGUAAUGGCUCACCAAGGCGUCGACGGGUAGCCGGCCUGAGAGGGUGACCGGCCACACUGGGACUGAGACACGGCCCAGACUCCUACGGGAGGCAGCAGUGGGGAAUAUUGCACAAUGGGCGAAAGCCUGAUGCAGCAACGCCGCGUGAGGGAUGACGGCCUUCGGGUUGUAAACCUCUUUUAGCAGGGAAGAAGCGAAAGUGACGGUACCUGCAGAAAAAGCGCCGGCUAACUACGUGCCAGCAGCCGCGGUAAUACGUAGGGCGCAAGCGUUAUCCGGAAUUAUUGGGCGUAAAGAGCUCGUAGGCGGUUUGUCGCGUCUGCUGUGAAAUCCCGAGGCUCAACCUCGGGCCUGCAGUGGGUACGGGCAGACUAGAGUGCGGUAGGGGAGAUUGGAAUUCCUGGUGUAGCGGUGGAAUGCGCAGAUAUCAGGAGGAACACCGAUGGCGAAGGCAGAUCUCUGGGCCGUAACUGACGCUGAGGAGCGAAAGGGUGGGGAGCAAACAGGCUUAGAUACCCUGGUAGUCCACCCCGUAAACGUUGGGAACUAGUUGUGGGGUCCAUUCCACGGAUUCCGUGACGCAGCUAACGCAUUAAGUUCCCCGCCUGGGGAGUACGGCCGCAAGGCUAAAACUCAAAGGAAUUGACGGGGACCCGCACAAGCGGCGGAGCAUGCGGAUUAAUUCGAUGCAACGCGAAGAACCUUACCAAGGCUUGACAUAUACGAGAACACUUCAGAAAUGAGACUCUUUGGACACUCGUAUACAGGUGGUGCAUGGUUGUCGUCAGCUCGUGUCGUGAGAUGUUGGGUUAAGUCCCGCAACGAGCGCAACCCUCGUUCUAUGUUGCCAGCACGUAAUGGUGGGAACUCAU